GGGAAGCGAAGAGGGGUUGUUACAAAAAAAAGAAAAGACGCUUUUCUUAGAUUUGCAACACAUCGAAAAACCGGGGAAACACCCCGCGUCGUCCGAUUGCUUUAAAACCCGCGAGGGCCUUCCGGGUUUUAAAGCGAGCCUCUCGUUUUCAACGUCCUCCACCUCCGCCGAGCUAGGAUUCGAGGAGUCCGAGCAAAAAGUUCUCCCCCUGGGUCGUAUCGAGGGGUGUCAGGAUGGGAGUGGGGGAAUUUUUCGAGCAGUAGCAGCCACCACUCCUACCCCGGCUUCGAUCGCUGGGCCGGGGUAGAGGUAGAGAGCAAAAUCCUGGCCGGCUGGCGCCGAAGGGCUUCCGGGGGGAAGUCGGAGCAGGAAGACCGCGCUUCGCGCUUCUCCCCUCGGUCUUUUCCUCCCGUCCCCUGCCAGCUCCCCCUUUAAUUUUUUUUCUCUCCUUUAAUCUAAUUUCUUCCAACUCCACCUUUGUUGUUACCGGCGUCACUCCGGGACCAGCCAAUCCCCGUCACGCAAUCAGCUUGUCAAAAAGGCUUGGCCAGCCCUGGGAAAGCAGGCCGCGGGCGCUGCCCCCCCCCAACCCCGGCGGCUGGGAACCGCGAGGGGAUCCCGGCGCCCCGGCCUCGCCGCCGGAGCCGCAGCGGGGAAGGUCCCUCGCAGGCCGCCCGCACUCCACCCUCCUGCGGGCGGGGGAUGGAAGGGCCUGGGCGCCGACCACCAUCCAUCCCCCACUGCCGCCAGCUGUCGUUGUCGGUCUCGGCCUUCCCUGCUCCGAGGAAGGGUUAUCUGGACGCAGGGAGCCAGAAAACAGUCUGAAGAACGCCUGCUUCCCACAGGCCAGGCUAGGGGUUGUGCUUUCGCUGCACGAGCAGCGCCAUCGCUCCUGGCUCCCAGUUGCCAGUGGCCCUCUCCAACACUGCUACUGCCACAUCGACUCGCCAGUUGGGUCACCAGCCCCUUUGGAUUCUCCCCUGGCACACAGCCUACUCCAGCCUCACACAGGGCCUCGAUGCUGCUGUAAUUCCUCUUGUCUCCUGGGAGAAACGAGAUCCUCUUCCCAGGGUUUCCACAUCCACAUCUGCCACGUUUCACAAAUAGGGAGGAAAAUCCUUGUCAAGAUCUGGUGUGUCCAGAGCUUUUAGUGGGCAGGGCAUGCAGGGAAGGCACUUUGUUCUUGUUGUUAGGCGCCAUGGAGUCAAUUUCAACUCAUAGCGACCCCAUAUGACGCAGUAGAACUGCUCCAUAGAGUUUUCUUGGCUGUACUCUUUAGGGAGCCCACCGUGAAGGCUUUUCUCCCGUGGAACAGCAAGGUGGGUUAGAACUGGCAAACUUUUGGUUAACAACCAAAUGCUUCACCAUUGCCACACCAUGCUAAUGAAGCUUAAGCUUCAAGGCCUCUCCCUGGCAGAGCCGGGCCAAAAGCCCUGUACUUAAUUUUGUUUUUAACAUUUGGUAUUUUCCUGAAAGAGCGCCUACCUCAAAUUGUCUAAGCUUCAGGCUCCACAGACCCAGAUCUGCCCCGGAACACAGGCAGGGCAUUCAUUUUGUGUCCGAUCAAGACACCUCUCCUGUGCUAAAGAGUGAGGCACGGACUAAAUUCUGUUUAGACUGAGAAAGAGCAAAGAGUUAGUUUGAAGUCAAAAGUCCCAGCUUCACCACCCUCUUAAGAAUUCCAAUUUCCACAUCUGCAAAAUUAGACUAGCCAUCCUAUUUACUCUGCUAAAAUUUUGUAAAACUGUAAAAUAGACUACAGAUGUCACUUGCCACAAAGACAUUGGGAAAAACUUAGACCCCCCAAAAAUUCCAACUAUUUCACACACGGAUUUGGAGUCCAGGUGUCCUGGCUCCUGGUCCUGAACUUCUUGGCUGGGCCAAGGGACCUUUCGGUAAAGUGCUUUGGAACAAAACAGGAUGGACAUGAAUCAUAAGAAUGAUUAUUAUUGAUUUUUCGUUCCUUGGGUAGCAAAAAUCAUGGCUGGCACUCUUCCUACUUGGAAACCCAUUGGCUUGUUUUAUAUCCAUUGCAUCUCUGAUGAGGUCAAGAGUUUAGGACUUGGGCUAUGGGCCAAGUCUAGGACUUGGGCUAUGGGCCAGAGCUGAGAGAAUUUGCCCUUGGCCCUUUUUCUUUGUCCUCUUUCCCAACCCUCCAACCCCCUCUAGUUUCUGGCAUAAGCCUUGAAGCAGAUCCUCAGCAUUCCAUGACCCAGCCCAGGCUGGUGAGGAGGCAUAAGCCUUAGCUACACCUUUGCCACUUGGCCCCAGCUCUUCCCUGGUUGCCAGCAUCCCAGCACUAGCCCACAUAAAAACCUCGUAGUGUGUUCACAAAGUCUGGUGUUUGAGUUCCUGGUGUGCGUGAAUAAUUUCAGUGGCACAUAGAUUAACGUAUUUUCGGGGUUGCAUGUACUAACGUGUAUUGAAAUGUGUUUUAUUUUUAUUUAAGAUAGUUGUAAAGUCUUCCCCCCUCACCUGUUUUGGAACCAUUGUUCCUUUAUUAUUCUUUUUAUUUAUUUUUUUCUUUUUUAGGAAGGUAUAGUUUACAGACAGUAAUGAGUCGGAAUCAACUUAAAGGCCAUGGUUUUUUGUUUUUUGUUUUUGGUAUGCAUAGUAUGGAGUCCCUGAGUAGUGCAAACGGUUAGUGAGCUUGGCUACUAACCAAAAAGUUGGUGGUUCGAGUCCACCCAGAGGCACCUCAGGAGAAAAGCCUUGCAAUCUAUUUCUAAAAAAACAGCCAUUGAAAACCCUGUGGAAUACAGUUCAACUCUGACACACGUGGAGAUGCUAUGAGUCAGAAUAGACUUGAGGGCAACUGGUGGUGGUAUCUAUAGUAUCCAUGUUACAUAUGUAGCUACCGUGUAACUGCCACCCAGGUCAAGAUAUUGAACACUUCUAGCACCUGCAAGCUUACUCAAAGUCAAUAUCCCCCUCCAGAUGUCACCAAUAUUCUGAGCUCUAUCAUAUAGCUAAGUUUUACCCAUUUUUUAAUUUCAUGCACGUGGAAUUAUACAGUGUAUACUCUUCAUGGAAACCCUGGUGGCGUAGUGGUUAAGUGCUAUGGCUGCUAACCAAAGGGAUGGCAGUUUGAAUCCGCCAGGCGCUCCUUGGAAACUCUAUGGGGCACUUCUAUUCUGUCCUAUAGGGUCGCUAUGAGUCAGAAUCAACUCGAAGGCACUGGGUUUGGUUAUACUCCUUUACCUCUGGCCUCUUUCACCCAACAUGAUGUCUGAGAUCGAUUUACGGUAUUGCAUGUAGCCAUAGUUCGUUCCUUUUCCUUGCUAUAUAGUAUUCCAUUGCAUGAAUGCACCACAAUCUAUCCAUUCUAUUUCUAAUGGAAUUUGGGUUGCUUCCAAUUGUAUGGCUAUAAAGCUACCUUGAACAUUCCUGUGGAUAUCUUUUGAGGACUAUAUGCAUUCAUUCCUCUUGGAUAUAUUUCCAGAAGUGGAAUUCCUGCAUCUUUUUUCCUAAAUGGUUGUAACAAUUUACCCUCCACCACCAGUGUAUGAGAAUGCCUGGUGCUCCACAUCUUCACCAACACCUAAUAUUGUCAGUCCUUUUUAUUGUAGUCACUCUAGUGGGCAUGUAGUGGUACCUCAUUUUGGUUUUAAUUUCUCUGGUAACUAAUGAUGUUGAGCACCUUUUCACAUAUAAAAUCAUCUUUUUAAAUAUGUUUAUUUGAGUUUUAAAGCUGAGUCAGUGAAAAGAACAAUAGUAAGGAAAGAAUAGUAUUAGUGGCUCAAAGAUCUGGCAAAGAUAAUUAAGGUGAUGUGUGAAUGACUUAAGUUCAGAAAACCCUAUAGCUGCACUGUCUAAUAGGGUAGCCACUAGCCACAUGUGGCUAUUUAAGUUUAAAUUAAUUGAAAUGAAAUAGAAUUGAAUAUUCAGUUCCUCAGUCACACUGGCCACACUUCAGGUGCUCCAUAGCCAUAUGUGGCUAGUGGUGAACCUAUGGACAAUAUAGAUAUAGAAUAUUCCCAUCGUCAAGUAAAGGGCUGUGUCUUUGUUAUCUAGUGCUGCUAUAACAGAAAGACCCCAAGCAGAUGGCUUUAACAAAGAUAAAUUUAUUCUCUUACAGUCUAGGAGGCUAGAAGUCGGAAUUUAGGGUGCCGGCUCCAGGGAAAGGCUUUCUCUGUCGGCUCUGAGGGAAGGUCGUUGUCAUCAAUCUUCCCUGGUCGAAAAUCUCAAUGCAGGGACCCUGAGUCCAAAGGAUGUGAUCUUCUCCUGGCUCUUGUUUCUUGCUGGUAUGAGGUCCCCUGUCUCUCUGCUUCUCUCUUUUAUAUCUCAAAAGAGACUGACUUAAGAGAUGACCUAAUCUUGUAGACUGAGUUCUGCCUCAUUAACAUAAACUGCCCCUAAUCCUGCCUCAUUAGUUUCACAGAAGUAUGUGAUGGUUAAGGUUGUGAGCCUUGAUUCUCAGUGUUUAUAUGUGAUCACUCCCAUGAUGGAAUCUGUUGUGAGUAGGGGAUCAGUGGAAGGGGUGUUUCCUUGGGGGUGUGGCCUGCAUCAGAAUAUAAGCAGAUAUUCUGGCUUUUUGCUGGCUGUGGAUCUGCAGCUGCCUCCAGUUCGUCUGACCUCUGGUUCUUGGGACUUGAGCUAUCAGCUUAUUUUCUGAUCUUGGGAUUCCUGAUCUUCACAGCCUGUGACCAGGAGCCCUGCUCUCUGACCUGCUAAUCUUGGGUUCACUGCCCCUGCAGCUACGUGAAUGGAGAGACGACUUCUAUCCUGAUCCACGGACUUGGGACGUUCCAGCCUCUACAACUGUGCUCAACUUCCCGUUGCUGUCGAGCUGAUGCCGACUCAGGACCAGGAGGCCGUGUUUCGUUCUGUUGUAUGCAGAGUUGCUAUGAUUCAGAACCGACUCACCAGCACCUAACAACAGACUCAAUUUGCUGAUAUUUUUGGGUCUAUGCUUAUGAGUGGUUAAGCAUGCUAACCAAAAGGCUGGCAGUUUGAAUUCACCAGCUACUCCUUGGAAAUCCUGUGGGGCAGUUCUGCUUUGUCCUGUAGGGUGGCUAUGAAUUGGAAUCAACUCAACGGUAACAGAGAACCCCUGAGGGAGCAGAAGAGCAGUGGGAUGCAGACCUCAAAUUCUCAUAAGACCAGACUUAAUGGUCUGACUGAGACUGGAAGGACCCCGGUGAUCAUGGCCCCCAGACCUUCUGUUACCCCAGGACAGGAACCAUUCCCGAAGCCAACUCUUCAAACAUGGAUUGGACUGGACAAUGGGUUGGAGAGGGAUGCUGGUGAGGAGUGAGCUUCUUGGAUCAGGUGGACACUUGAGACUAUGUUGGCAUCUCCUGCCUGGAGGGGAGAUGAGAGGGUAGAGGGGGUUAGAAGCUGGUGAAAUGGACACGAAGAGAGCAGAGGGAGAGAGCAGACUGUCUCAUUAGGGGGAGAGAAAUUGGGAGUGUGUAGCAAGGUGUAUAUGGGUUUUUGUGUGAGAGACUGACUUGAUUUGUAAACUUUCACUUAAAGCACAAUAAAAAUUAUUUUUUUUAAAAUGAGUGUUCAUGUAUAAAUGAAUCUGGAGAAAUAUACUCUAAAUUGCUAAUAGUGGUUAUUGGGGUGGGGGGAGAGGAUUAUUGGAGGCUUUCAUUCUCUAUGUUAGAUCUAUAAUUUUAAGUGUUUUAAAACAGUUUAAAUGUACAUUUGUUAUUUUUGAAAUCUGAAUAAAUAAAGCUGUGUUUUAAAGGAAAGAGAGAGGUGAUUGAAUGUUUCUGUCCCCCAGCCUGCGACAUGUUCUCUGGUCCCUCUUGGAAACAGGUCAGCUGGCUGCUCUAUCUGCCCCAUGCCUGCCAAGCUCCCAUGGCCCCUACCUCCUGCUUCUGCUUCCUCGCGAGCGCUUCCUUCCUCACCUUGUGUCAUCUGGCUUUGGGCCCAGGUGCCUGGGAAAGAAACAACUCUCUGAGGACAUCACAUGGCCUCCAACCCAGUGUGACUUCCACAAUGUCACUUGACUCUGCUGAGCAAUUUCACCCAUUUUAUCUUUAGGAAGUUUCUCAGAUGCAUCUUAUUUUCCAGACCCUUAUUCCCUCAGGGAAAUCCUGAUGGCAUAGUGGUUAAGUGCUACAGCUGCUAACCAAAAGGUUGGCGGUUUGAAUCCACGAGGCACUCCUUGGAAACUCUUUGGGGCAGUUCUACUCUGUCCUAUAGAGUCACUAUAAGUCAGAAUCCACUUGAUGGCAACAGGUUUUUUUUUUUAUUAUUAUUAUUAUUCCUUCAAGACAUACCCCUGCUCUCAUCAUGGGGCCAACUUUUACUUUUCCCUCAGGAGUCAGCUCAAAGGCCUCUGCCUCCGGAAGCCCCGCCUAAUCCCAGCCUCUCUCUCCUCCUGCCACUACCUGCACAAGACUCACCACUCUUGUUGAAUGCCUGGCUCCCAUGUCGACUGUAGGCACUGUGAGGGCAGGAGCUAUGUCCAUCUCUCCCUGCUGUUGAUUGACUCACAUGCAGAGAUUCCCAAUUUGCCUCCUUACAUCCAAUCCCUCCUGUAUAUAGCUCCCAGGUGAAUCACUUUAAUCAUAUCACUUACCAGUUCAAGAACCUCCAAUGACUCCCUAGUGCCUACUGAGUCAAGUCCAAGCUCUUCCUCUUGGCAUUUAUGGUCCUUGAAACCUGAUCUUGUUCUCCCUAUUUAUAUUAACCUGUUCUCCAAGAAGGAACCCUGGUGGCACAGUGUUUAAGUGUUUGUCUGCUAUCCAAAAGGUCAGCUGUUCAAAUCCACCAGCUACUCUUGGAAACCUUAUGGGGCAGUUGUACCCUGUCUUAUCAUUAUGAGUAGGAAUGGACUUCAGUCUCUCAUCCAAAAAUUUAUGUACACCGCGGUAUGUACUUGCAGUUGCUCUGCGCCUAACAAGACAGCACACUCCCUCCCUCUGCUAUUUUCAUGUCCAUUCUGCCAGCUUUUGACCCCCUCUGCCCUCUCAUCUCCACUCCAGACAGGAGCUGCCCACAUAGUCUCAUGUGUCUACUUGAUCUGAGAAGCUCACUCUUCACCAGUAUCAUUUUCUAACCCAUAGUCCAGUCCAAUCCCUGCCUGAAGAGUUGGCAUUGGAAUGGUUCCUAUCUUGGGCUAACAGAAGGUCUGGGGACCACAACCUCCGGGGUCCUUCUAGUCUCAGUCAGACCAUUAAGUCUGGUCUUUUUACGAGAAUUUGAGGUCUGCAUCCCACUGCUCUCCUGCUCCCUCAAGGGUUCUCUGUUGUGUUG
This is a long non-coding RNA of Loxodonta africana (African savanna elephant), 7212 nucleotides long. RefSeq lists it as uncharacterized. Lineage: Eukaryota; Metazoa; Chordata; Mammalia; Proboscidea; Elephantidae. The record is from RefSeq and is a predicted model, not a curated record. The transcript is spliced from 4 exons.